UUGGAGGGCAAGUCUGGUGCCAGCAGCCGCGGUAAUUCCAGCUCCAAUAGCGUAUAUUAAAGUUGUUGCAGUUAAAAAGCUCGUAGUUGAAUUUCGGGAUCAAUGUUUCGGUCAUGCCGUUGGUAUGUACUGAUAUUAUUGGUUUCUCACCUUCUAAAGAACCGUAAUGCCAUUAAUUUGGUGUCACGGGGAAUUAGGACUGUUACCUUGAAAAAAUUAGAGUGUUUAAAGCAGGCUCACGCUUGAAUACAUUAGCAUGGAAUAAUGAAAUAGGACAUCCGAUUCUAUUUUGUUGGUUUCUAGGAUCGAUGUAAUGAUUAAUAGGGAUAGUUGGGGGCAUUAGUAUUCAAUUGCCAGAGGUGAAAUUCUUGGAUUUAUUGAAGACUAACUACUGCGAAAGCAUUUGCCAAGGAUGUUUUCAUUAAUCAAGAACGAAAGUUAGGGGAUCGAAGACGAUCAGAUACCGUCGUAGUCUUAACCAUAAACUAUGCCGACUAGGGAUCGGAUGAUGUUAAUUUUUUAAUGACUCAUUCGGCGCCUUACGGGAAACCAAAGUGUUUGGGUUC
RNAcentral lists this ribosomal RNA (566 nucleotides) under uncultured Glomeromycotina. RNAcentral's name for it is "SSU rRNA". It matches the Rfam family "Eukaryotic small subunit ribosomal RNA", at positions 548 to 1114 of the family's 1831-position model. The record is from RNAcentral. Lineage: Eukaryota; Fungi; Glomeromycota.